GAUGAACGCUGGCGGCGUGCCUAAUACAUGCAAGUCGAGCGAACGGACGAGGAGCUUGCUUCUCUGACGUUAGCGGCGGACGGGUGAGUAACACGUGGAUAACCUACCUAUAAGACUGGGAUAACUUCGGGAAACCGGAGCUAAUACCGGAUGAUAUUUUGAACCGCAUGGUUCAAUAGUGAAAGACGGUUUUGCUGUCACUUAUAGAUGGAUCCGCGCUGCAUUAGCUAGUUGGUAAGGUAACGGCUUACCAAGGCAACGAUGCAUAGCCGACCUGAGAGGGUGAUCGGCCACACUGGAACUGAGCCACGGUCCAGACUCCUACGGGAGGAAGCAGUAGGGAAUCUUACGCAAUGGGCGAAAGCAUGACGGAGCAACGCCGCGUGAGUGAUGACGGUCUUCGGAUCGUAAAAACCUGUUAUUAGGGAAGAACAAAUGUGUAAGUAACUAUGCACGUCUUGACGGUAACUAAUAAGAAAGCAACGGCUAACUACGUG
This 497-nucleotide ribosomal RNA is filed under the name uncultured bacterium. Its description in RNAcentral is "partial 16S ribosomal RNA". It matches the Rfam family "Bacterial small subunit ribosomal RNA", at positions 28 to 507 of the family's 1533-position model. The record is from RNAcentral.